CUCACUUCCUAUUUCGCACUGAACGAUAUGGAUGAUCUCUCCGCGACCACGAUAUAGCAAGCCCACAAAAGUGUGCUCAGAGGCACACUGAUGCGCUUAGCUUCUAAGAAGAAAAGAGAAUCUCGGAGACAUAUGACGGAACUUUUAACACGCAUAAAUGUGCUCGAAAUGCAACACAAACGCUCCCACCUCGAGGAGACAUAUAAAGAAUUACUGGAAGCCCGAAGAUCUCUACAUGCGCACAUGACGACUCGAUACUAUAGCUCCAUACAGCGCUCGAAGGCCUUCUUUUACCAACACGCCAACAAAGGAGGGAGGCUGCUGGCCAGAAUGAUUAGAGGCCCCCAGAGCAUGACCCAGGUCCAUAAGCUACGGACG
This is a non-coding RNA of Pelobates cultripes (western spadefoot toad), 378 nucleotides long. The record is from the annotation of a GenBank genome assembly. Lineage: Eukaryota; Metazoa; Chordata; Amphibia; Anura; Pelobatidae.